CAUUAUUCCUUUCCAGACUGAUGCUUCGUGUGCUGUUUUGGUUCCGCGCUUCCUUACUGGCUCGUACAUGCACAUGCAUCCUUCGCCGUUGCCAUUUCUAAAGCAAAGCAGUGUACAGUUCUAACUUGUAACUGUCAGUAGAAACGCUAUGGAAGCGCUAAAAACUACGACACGGCUGGCGGGGUGAGGACCCUGUCGAAGUGGAGGCACGUAAGUAAAGGUUCCUCUCACUAAAUGUUUCAUUCAUGAAGGCGGUGGUGUGGCUCAGAUGGCAGAGCAGUCGUGCAGAAAGCUUGAAUCUGGCCUCUGCCGUCCCAGUCGCGGCCCUUGGGCAAAGCGCUGCUCCCAGUGGCGCAUGAAUCCUUGGCAAGAUCAAGUAAAAUGCAUUCAUUCACUUUUGCCUACUUUUACGUUCAUUCACCAAGUCAUUGUAAUGUGUUCAUGAUUUCCUUUUUUUACUGCUAAUACCGUAGCAUGGAGAUGUGUUAGUACGCUAGAAAAAGUAGUUCCUCAGUGUUCACUCUUACAAUAACAAUGUUGCCACAGCUUGGUUAUUAUACAUGUUACACAAUGUAAAUGAAGUGUUGUUGACAGUUUUUGAAUGCAUUUUUAAAGUGAUUUAGAGGUAGAAUUGAUAGCUACCAACAAUGAAACAAAUUCACUUCUUAGGAUGCAAAAAAACCAACAAUUUUGGACUUGUUUUGUUUUUGUUUUUUUUCCCCUUCUUGGGAUGUCUGGAAUCCGUCUUCAUAAUGAUAGUGAACGAUAGGCAAAAUUUCCCCCCCAAAAAGUGCAGUUCUCCUCUAUCAGCUGUGGCUGUAGGCAACCUCCUGAUGUACUUUUAUCUGAUAAAAGUACAUCAGGAGGUUGCCUACAGAAGCCCUCAAAAUGGCAGUAGAUGUAUUUGAAGUCGGCAUUCAGCAGCUUCUUGAGACAUGAAGAAGGAAAAGUAGCUUCCAUAUAAGGAGGUGUGAACAAGUGAUGACAUAAAUCAAUAACAUUGCAUGUAAUAGACAAUGUCUCAUUUGCACCCCUGCUGGUCAAAAUGAGGGUGGUCCCAAAAAGGAGGGAUUUUUCAAAUGGACUGUGUGUCGCUUUUAAAAGUGCUCCCCCUCUCUGGUCAACAUAUGAAAUAACAAGUGUGUGUAAAAAAUUGAAGUGCGUCCCCUAUGGCCAAAAUUAAUAAAAUAAAUAAAUAAAUGAAUAUGUAUAUAGAGACAUACUGUAAUAACUUGAA
Long non-coding RNA from Nerophis lumbriciformis (worm pipefish), 1237 nucleotides. RefSeq lists it as uncharacterized. The record is from RefSeq and is a predicted model, not a curated record. Lineage: Eukaryota; Metazoa; Chordata; Actinopteri; Syngnathiformes; Syngnathidae.